Molecule: long non-coding RNA, 432 nt
Organism: Ixodes scapularis (black-legged tick)
Lineage: Eukaryota; Metazoa; Arthropoda; Arachnida; Ixodida; Ixodidae
Exons: 3
Source: RefSeq, a predicted model, not a curated record
AGGAGCCGAGGGCAGGAGAGGAGCUUGAAGGAUGAGGAGGCGAUUAUACUUAUGAGCAUCGCCAGCAAUGACAGGGCCCAUAUGCUGGCCGAACCACAGGACGCCAUGAAAUUGAUUGUUCUCGAGCCAACCACGGGAAAACAGUGGUUCCUGGGACCCAUCUUGGUGGAUUUCAAGUUGGGAGAAUCAGGAGCCUGCCAGCACUGGUCUUCAGCUACGAUGCCUCUACAGAAGCCGCUAUCCCACGCCAGUCAUUCGAGGCACGCUACCACAGCCAUGAAGGAACGCUCGGACAUCUUUUUGCUGCAGGACGAAUACGAGGACCUCACCCCAGAGCAGAACCGAAGCAGCCGACCAUGCAGAACCACGGGGUGUCGCUGGUUAGCGACCUAUUUCCGUGCUAACGCGAGGGCGCCUUCCCCGUGCGACGAC